This 253-nucleotide ribosomal RNA is filed under the name uncultured bacterium. Its description in RNAcentral is "partial 16S ribosomal RNA". It matches the Rfam family "Bacterial small subunit ribosomal RNA", at positions 524 to 776 of the family's 1533-position model. The record is from RNAcentral.
UACGAAGGGGGCGAGCGUUGUUCGGAAUUACUGGGCGUAAAGGGCGUGCAGGCGGCUCUGAAAGUCAGAUGUGAAAGCCCCGGGCUUAACCUGGGAAUUGCAUUUGAUACUCUGGAGCUUGAGUACGGGAGAGGAGAGUGGAAUUCCCAGUGUAGAGGUGAAAUUCGUAGAUAUUCGGAAGAACACCAGUGGCGAAGGCGGCUCACUGGCCCGUUACCGACGCUCAGGCGCGACAGCGUGGGGAGCAAACGGG